RNAcentral lists this ribosomal RNA (1710 nucleotides) under Triticum aestivum (bread wheat). RNAcentral's name for it is "partial small subunit ribosomal RNA". The record is from RNAcentral. Lineage: Eukaryota; Viridiplantae; Streptophyta; Magnoliopsida; Poales; Poaceae.
AUGGAAUUGAGUCUACCUCAUACGCUUCAUCUUUUUAAUAUAUUUCAUGAGUAUGAUGGAAAGAAAAAUUGUGCUCAAAUACUAGAAGAAGAAUUACAUAGAAUGCUUGGCAUAAAAUAUGUGAAUGAUGAGCAUGAUUGCAAUGUUGUUAGUACGAAUUCUUUGAAUAUCCAUGAUACUAAUGAUGAUUACACUGGUUAUGAUGAAAAUGUCUCCUAUAAACAUGUCAAUUUUUGUGGAGUGCAUUGGGUUUGUAAGUACACACCAAAAAGGGAAGAUAGAUAUUGCAAGAAGCAUAAGUACUUAGAAACUAAAUUGUUGCAAGAAAUACUAGAUGAUUGUGCUGAAAAUUUAAAUUUUCUUGGCCGUACUUGUGGACUUUGCAAUGGACAGGGUCAUUUAGCUAUCCGAUGCAAAUUGUUCCAUGAUCUAAUCGUGUCCAAAAAUUGUGAUGACUUGAUUUCCCUUGCACAUUAUAAUGAACUUAGUUUGCUUAUGGGCUACAAAGAAAUGAAACGUAUAACUAAGGAUAUUCCAAAUUUUGCCCUUGAUAGAGUUCUUCAUUUUGAUCUAGAGGAAAUUUAUAUGUAUUGUGCGGUAAAUUGCAUUGAAAAUCCUUAUAUUGCCAACUACAUAAAGAAAAGAAAACAAAUAGAAGAUGAAGAGAAUACUAAUGAAAGGGAAGAGACUUCCCAAUAUCCUCCUAUUAUUUCUUAUGAUGAAUCAGGUAACGAGGAGGAGCCUCCUAUUCAACCAAUCUCAUUAAUAAGGAGCUCCAAAAAGACGAUUGAACCCACACAUGAUGUCGUGAAGAAGAAGAAGAGAAAAUGGAAGAGAGGUAAAAAGAUAUAUUCCCCAAAUAAUGCUGCUCCCAUUACUAUUGUGCCUCAUGAAAAUAUAAUUGUGGAAGAUAAUGAUACUUCUUAUGAUCUUGAAAAUCUUUUUGGCACUUGCUUGGAAGAACAUGAUAAUUGCUAUACUAUUGGUGCUAUCCAUACUAUUAAUGAUGAGAGCGAUUAUGCUUAUGAUAUGAAAAGGCCCAAGCUUGGGGAUGCUAUGUUUGAUGAAGAUGAUGUUUUUGAGAAUAUAUUUGCUGCAAUUAAUGUUUGUCCCAAGCUUGGGGAAGCUAUGUUUAAUGACAAUAUUUUUAGUCUCCCAAGUUUUGACAUGCAAAUUUAUAAUGAUGAUAGCAUGCCUCCUACCUAUGAUGAUUAUUGUCAUGAUACUUAUGCUAUAAAAAGUAGUGAUUGUAUUUAUAAAACUUGUCAUGAUUAUGAUUAUCCUUUUUCUGAACAUUAUUCUUUUAAUGUGGAAACAAUUUAUAGUAUUCGAGUCUCUUAUGAUACUCCCACUAUUCCGAAUGAGAAGAAUCUUGCUUAUGUGGAGAGUAAUAAAAAUUCUAUGCUUAUAGAUCAUGAAAAGAAUGCUUUAUGUGAUAGUUAUAUUGUUGAAUUCAUUCAUGAUACUACUGAAAAUUAUUACGAGGGAGGAACAUAUGCUUGUAGGAAUUGCAAUAAUAUCAAGUUUCCUUUCUAUGCGCUUAAAAUCUUGAAGUUAUGCUUGUUUUGCUUUCCCAUGCUAGUUGACUAUUGUUCCCAUAAAUUGUUUUCUCACAAAAUCCCUAUGCAUAGGAAGUGGGUUAGACUUAAAUGUGCUAGUCAUAUUCUUCAUGAUGCUCUCUUUAUGUUUCAAUUCUUAUCCUUUAUGUGA